ACAUCUAAAUUUGAACUGCUCACUCCCGCACCCUGAGUGCACCUAUCAGCAAAAGACGAAAUGCUGCCAUUUCCCACCUGAGCAAAUCCCAGCAAGGAUGCACCCGGUGGUAUUUAACGACCCUUCGAUGGCGUGGAACUGGGCCGUCUUUUGACAUAUUACUGUCCCCAUCGAGGUGAAUGGUCUCCAGUUAAUGAACGCAUCACUAGAUUUAGAACACACACAGAGUUGCUUACCAAUUCAUCAGUGAUUAACAACAAUCUUUAAGGUUAAAAAGAAAGCAUCAGGAUUAUCAGUAGAAUAAACACAAAAGUAAAUUCGAAAAUUUUAUCACAUCAAGUCAAUUCCAUUUUCUACAUGCCCAAAACAGUCUGAACACCUGUUUUUUACACUUUGUCACACCAGUUGUCAACGUGCUCUCCAAGUGUGGUGAGAGCUUCACAAAUUAAAGCUUGAAUUCAUUUUUGUAUCCUCUGGAACUAAUACCAUGCUUGGCACAUAACCCUGUGAAGGUUUGUCUAGGAAUGGCCAGAGGAACAGUUUGCAGCCAUUAGUGCUGUAGCUACAAAAAGUAUAAAACCAACUCCUGCCUUCCAGGUACUUAUAUUAACUAGUAUGUAAUUUUAUGUGAUUUACUGUAGUAAUUAGUAAGCUGAACUUGGCUGAGACAAAACCCAAAGACUUUAACUACUUUCGUUUCACCAAAAGCAGAACCCUGAGGGGAAGAAAAAAAAAAAAAGAAUAUUCUAGCAAUAAUCCACCAAAAGGAAAUUCCCAAAGAAAUGGCAAAGAAACCCUCCUUUCAUCUUAAAUGUCUUUUUUCUUAUCCUUCCAAACAAUACCUAAAAAAUGAACUUAUGUUCAUUUUCAAUUUUAAGAGUGAUACUGUGUUUAUUUUGAACUGCUCACACUGGCAACAUUAAUGGCAUUUUGCUACACAGUGACAGGAAAACAGCAGUCACUACUCUUUGAAUAAAUAUAAACAGUUGGAAGAUGAUCCUAUUUCCUGAUGAGUGGCAACUUCCAGGUUGUUAGUUAAAUGCUAACAAAGGUUGUGAUAAGAAAGUAAAUGAAGAAAAGAUAGUUGACAUGAUGCUACCAUUACUUUUAAGUUUCCUUUCCUUACACAAGUCACCAGUAAAUCUCAGUCCUCAUCUGGAGAUAAAACCUACUUCACAGGGCUGUUAUGAUGAUUAAGUGAACACACACACAUCCAUCAGUGAAGUGUUUGGUCCCUACAUCAUUGCAAAGGCCCAUUAACUUGCCAAAUUUCGUAUACUAUGCGAUCCGGAACGAGUGUUUCACACAUUACUCUCCCCAAGCCAGCCAAAUGGUCAUGCGCUGGAGCCCUGCUGGAGCUGUAUUCCUGACACUACAUACUGUGCAGACAUAUAGAGAGUGUACGCACAUAUACAGCACAUGCACAGAGUGUCCACACAUACAAAGAUAGUUACAUGUGCACACAUAAUAUAGCCAUAUAUAUCCUUACGGUGGAUACACAUAUAGUUUAGUGUUCAUAUAUACAUAUUAUGCAGACAUAUACAGAGUGUAUGCACAUAUACAGCACAUGCAUAGUGUGUCCACACAUACAGAGAAACAGCCAUAUAUAUCCUUACAGUGGAUACACACGUAGUUUACACACAGUGUUCAUACAUAUAUAAUGCAGCAUGGAUACACAGCAUCUAUGGCAUGUAUACAUGCAUACACACAAUGAACAUAUGCACUAACAUUAACCAUAAUGUAUACACUAUGUACAUACAGAGUAUAUGCACAUCAUACAUGCAUAGAAUGUAUGUAUAUAUACAUAUAGUGCAUGUAUGAAAUAUAUGUAAUGCACACAUAUACACAUAUAGUGUAUUUUUAUAGCAUAUAUACAGUGUAAAUGCACACAAUGUACACAUACACAUGUGUGCAUGUAGUAUAUGUUAUACAUACAAUGUACAUGCAUAAACACAUAUAUAAUAUACAGGCCACAUAUGUGCAGAGUGGUUAUGGUAUCUGUGCAUACAUACAAAUGUGCACACAUAUGCACAAUAUUAAUUCUCCUGAUCCAUGAACACACUUUAUCUUCCCAUUUAUUUUGCCUUCCUGAGUUUCAAAGUCUUACAUUUACCACUGCCAGUUCCUUCCCUUCCUUGGCUAAAUUUACAUGUGCAGGUAUAAUACACAUGUACAUGGUACAGACACACGUGUACAAUGUAUGCAUGGUACCUAUGGACAUACAACACCCACAUAGUAUACAAACACACAUGUGCCACACACACAUGGUACAUAUGCAUACCUACAAGGCACAUACACCUAGGGUAUGAGAGUCUCUAGUUCCAUCCAUGUUGCUGCAAAUGGCAUUAUUUUGUUCUUUUUUAUGGCUGAGUAGUAUUCCAUUGUGUAUAUAUACUACAUCUUCCUAAUCCAGGAGCUUGGGAUAAUAGAUGCAGACUAUUGCCUCUGGAAUGGAUUAGCAAUGAGAUCCUGCUGUGUGGCACUGGGAACUAUGUCUAGUCACUUAUAAUGGAGCAUGAUAAUGGGAGAAAAUAGAAUGUAUACAUGUAUGUGUAACUGGGUCACCAGGCUGCACAGCAGAAAAAAAAAGGUAUUGAGGAAAUUAAAAAAAUAAAAAA
This 2618-nucleotide long non-coding RNA is filed under the name Sus scrofa (pig). RNAcentral describes it as "lncRNA (ENSSSCG00040000067.1)". Lineage: Eukaryota; Metazoa; Chordata; Mammalia; Artiodactyla; Suidae. The record is from RNAcentral.